GAUGAAGAACGUAGCGAAAUGCGAUAAGUAAUGUGAAUUGCAGAAUUCAGUGAAUCAUCGAAUCUUUGAACGCACAUUGCGCCCGCCAGUAUUCUGGCGGGCAUGCCUGUUCGAGCGUCAUUUCAACCAUCAAGCCCUGCUUGCGUUGGGAUCCUGCGGCUGCCCGCAGGCCCUGAAAACCAGUGGCGGGCUCGCUAGUCACACCGAGCGCAGUAAUACAUCUCGCUUUGGGCGUGCGGCGGGUUCUUGCCGUUAAACACCCCCUUUUUACCAAGGUUGACCUCGGAUCAGGUAGGAAUACCCGCUGAACUUAAGCAUAUCAAUAAGCGGAGGA
Molecule: unclassified non-coding RNA, 334 nt
Filed under: soil metagenome
Description: partial contains 5.8S ribosomal RNA, internal transcribed spacer 2, and large subunit ribosomal RNA
Rfam family: 5.8S ribosomal RNA (bases 1-120)
Source: RNAcentral